UACAGAGGUCCCAAGCGUUGUUCGGAUUCACUGGGCGUAAGGGUGCGUAGGCGGUCGGGUAAGUCUGAUGUGAAAUCUCACAGCUUAACUGUGAAACUGCAUUGGAUACUAUCCGGCUAGAGGAAUGGAGGGGAGACUGGAAUACUUGGUGUAGCAGUGAAAUGCGUAGAUAUCAAGUGGAACACCAGUGGCGAAGGCGAGUCUCUGGACAUUUCCUGACGCUGAGGCACGAAAGCCAGGGGAGCAAACGGGAUUAGACUAC
This 262-nucleotide ribosomal RNA is filed under the name uncultured bacterium. RNAcentral describes it as "partial 16S ribosomal RNA". It matches the Rfam family "Bacterial small subunit ribosomal RNA", at positions 524 to 786 of the family's 1533-position model. The record is from RNAcentral.